GACGAACGCUGGCGGCGUGCUUAACACAUGCAAGUCGAACGGAAAGGCCCUGAUUUUGUGGGGUGCUCGAGUGGCGAACGGGUGAGUAACACGCGAGUAACAUGCCCUUGACUUUGGGAUAACUUCAGGAAACUGGGGCUAAUACCGGAUAGGAGCUCCUGCUGCAUGGUGGGGGUUGGAAAGUUUCGGCGGUUGGGGAUGGACUGGCGGCUUAUCAGCUUGUUGGUGGGGUAGUGACUUACCAAGGCUUUGACGGGUAGCCGGCCUGAGAGGGUGACCGGCCACAUUGGGACUGAGGUACGGCCCAGACUCCUACGGGAGGCAGCAGGGGGGAAUAUUGCGCAAUGGGCGGAAGCCUGAUGCAGCAACGCCGCGUGCGUGAUGACGUCCUACGAGUUGUAAACCGCUUUCGCCUGUAACGAAGCGUGAGUGACGGUAAUUGGUAAAGAAGCACCGGCUAACUACGUG
RNAcentral lists this ribosomal RNA (468 nucleotides) under uncultured bacterium. Its description in RNAcentral is "partial 16S ribosomal RNA". It matches the Rfam family "Bacterial small subunit ribosomal RNA", at positions 28 to 507 of the family's 1533-position model. The record is from RNAcentral.